GACGAACGCUGGCGGCGUGCUUAACACAUGCAAGUCGAACGGAAAGGCCCUGCUUUUGUGGGGUGCUCGCGUGGCGAACGGGUGAGUAACACGUGAGUAACCUUCCCUUGACUUUGGGAUAACUUCAGGAAACUGGGGCUAAUACCGGCUAGGAGCUCCUGCUGCAUGGUGGGGGUUGGAAAGUUUCGGCGGUGGGGGAUGGACUCGCGGCUUAUCAGCUUGUUGGUGGGGUAGUGGCUUACCAAGGCUUUGACGGGUAGCCGGCCUGAGAGGGUGAACGGCGACAUUGGGACUGAGAUACGGCCCAGACUCCUACGGGAGGCAGCAGUGGGGAAUAUUGCACAAUGGGCGGAAGCCUGAUGCAGCAACGCCGCGUGCGGGAUGACGGCCUUCGGGUUGUAAACCGCUUUCGCCUGUGACGAAGCGGGAGUGACGGUAAUGGGUAAAGAAGCACCGGCUAACUACGUG
Molecule: ribosomal RNA, 468 nt
Filed under: uncultured bacterium
Lineage: Bacteria
Description: partial 16S ribosomal RNA
Rfam family: Bacterial small subunit ribosomal RNA
Source: RNAcentral